GAUUCUCCUAUCUCAGCCUCCUGUGCCAUUGGGAUCACAGGCAUCCCUCAAUCCUGCCAAGUUGAGGACUAAAAUGAACCGUCCCUGCCGCCCUCAGCCCCAUACUGCUGCAGCUCGGUCCUCUGAAUCGCAGAGCAGCACCUACCUGGAACGCAGCUGCAUGGGCACCUGUCUUCUAGAGACUUUUAUAGGUCACUGAAGACAGCCUGGGCUGACGGCGGAACACAAGGUUCAAGGUGGAGAAUUGCCAGCCCCUGCCUCAGCCCUGCUCUGUGACGGCGUUUACAGGGAGGGUCAGAGGAGGACAGGGAAAACUGCCCCAUGACAAAACUUUAAAGCCCUGCAAAAGGCUCUGAGAUAGUCCAUUUCCUUGCUGCCCUUGGAUGCCUGCUCCACGUUCCUCCGGUAAGCUCCCCAGAGACGGCCACUCUUAGCAGCUUCCUGAGCGCGUCCCUGCAGAGCGCAUCCCUGCAGAGAGGUUCCUCGCACGCACAGGCAGAUGUGGACACGCUGCCCUGGACCUGGCUUUUUUCACGUGAGCCCCUUGGAGCUUUUCCUCAUCAGGUCACAGAGAGUGGCCGGCUGUACCCAAUGCUCCUCCGCAUCUAUCCUAAGAAUCCAAGCGUCAUCCUGCAGCAAGACCUGCCCACCAGGUUUACAGCAUCCCAGGUCACAGUAGCCCAACCAAGAAACAGACCUCUGUGUCCACCAAAGAAAAAUGCACUAUGGAUUUACUGUGGAGUUGGGUUUUUUUUUUAACAUUGUUUUUUUAAAUUUUAAUUUACGGGGCUGGGGAUGUGGCUCAAGCGG
This is a non-coding RNA of Marmota flaviventris (yellow-bellied marmot), 810 nucleotides long. The record is from RefSeq and is a predicted model, not a curated record. NCBI's taxonomy places the organism in Eukaryota, Metazoa, Chordata, Mammalia, Rodentia, Sciuridae.